This 1340-nucleotide ribosomal RNA is filed under the name Campylobacter hyointestinalis subsp. lawsonii. RNAcentral describes it as "16S ribosomal RNA". It matches the Rfam family "Bacterial small subunit ribosomal RNA", at positions 28 to 1382 of the family's 1533-position model. The record is from RNAcentral. Lineage: Bacteria; Pseudomonadati; Campylobacterota; Epsilonproteobacteria; Campylobacterales; Campylobacteraceae.
AGUGAACGCUGGCGGCGUGCCUAAUACAUGCAAGUCGAACGGACAAGUAAGAGCUUGCUCUUAUGAGUUAGUGGCGCACGGGUGAGUAAUGUAUAGUUAAUCUGCCCUACACUGGAGGACAACAGUUAGAAAUGACUGCUAAUACUCCAUACUCCUUCUUAGCACAAGUUAAGUCGGGAAAGUUUUUUCGGUGUAGGAUGAGACUAUAUUGUAUCAGCUAGUUGGUAAGGUAAUGGCUUACCAAGGCUAUGACGCAUAACUGGUCUGAGAGGAUGAUCAGUCACACUGGAACUGAGACACGGUCCAGACUCCUACGGGAGGCAGCAGUAGGGAAUAUUGCUCAAUGGGGGAAACCCUGAAGCAGCAACGCCGCGUGGAGGAUGACACUUUUCGGAGCGUAAACUCCUUUUGUUAGGGAAGAAUAAUGACGGUACCUAACGAAUAAGCACCGGCUAACUCCGUGCCAGCAGCCGCGGUAAUACGGAGGGUGCAAGCGUUACUCGGAAUCACUGGGCGUAAAGGACGCGUAGGCGGAUUAUCAAGUCUUUUGUGAAAUCUAAUGGCUUAACCAUUAAACUGCUUGAGAAACUGAUAAUCUAGAGUGAGGGAGAGGCAGAUGGAACUGGUGGUGUAGGGGUAAAAUCCGUAGAGAUCACCAAGAAUACCCAUUGCGAAGGCGAUCUGCUAGAACUCAACUGACGCUAAUGCGUGAAAGCGUGGGGAGCAAACAGGAUUAGAUACCCUGGUAGUCCACGCCCUAAACGAUGYAUACUCGUUGUUGCUCUGCUAGUCAGGGCAGUAAUUCAGCUAACGCAUUAAGUAURCCGCCUGGGGAGUACGGUCGCAAGAUUAAAACUCAAAGGAAUAGACGGGGACCCGCACAAGCGGUGGAGCAUGUGGUUUAAUUCGAGGAUACGCGAAGAACCUUACCUGGGCUUGAUAUCCUAAGAACCUCUUAGAGAUAAGAGGGUGCUAGCUUGCUAGAACUUAGAGACAGGUGCUGCACGGCUGUCGUCAGCUCGUGUCGUGAGAUGUUCGGUUAAGUCCGGCAACGAGCGCAACCCACGUAUUUAGUUGCUAACAGUUUGGCUGAGCACUCUAAAUAUACUGCCUUCGUAAGGAGGAGGAAGGUGUGGACGACGUCAAGUCAUCAUGGCCCUUAUGCCCAGGGCGACACACGUGCUACAAUGGCAUAUACAAUGAGACGCAAUAUCGCGAGRUGGAGCAAAUCUAUAAAAUAUGUCCCAGUUCGGAUUGUUCUCUGCAACUCGAGAGCAUGAAGCCGGAAUCGCUAGUAAUCGUAGAUCAGCCAUGCUACGGUGAAUACGUUCCCGGGUCUU